GAGCUCAGCUGGUAGAGCAUGGGACUCUUAAUCUCGGAGUCGUAAGUUCGAGACCCACGUGGGGCG
Molecule: non-coding RNA, 66 nt
Organism: Podarcis lilfordi (Lilford's wall lizard)
Lineage: Eukaryota; Metazoa; Chordata; Lepidosauria; Squamata; Lacertidae
Source: the annotation of a GenBank genome assembly